RNAcentral lists this ribosomal RNA (301 nucleotides) under uncultured bacterium. RNAcentral describes it as "partial 16S ribosomal RNA". It matches the Rfam family "Bacterial small subunit ribosomal RNA", at positions 509 to 807 of the family's 1533-position model. The record is from RNAcentral.
CAGUAGCCACGGGAAUACGUAGGUGGCAAGCGUUGUCCGGAAUUAUUGGGCGUAAAGGGCUCGCAGGCGGUUUCUUAAGUCUGAUGUGAAAGCCCCCGGCUCAACCGGGGAGGGUCAUUGGAAACUGGGAAACUUGAGUGCAGAGGAGGAGAGUGGAAUUCCACGUGUAGCGGUGAAAUGCGUAGAGAUGUGGAGGAACACCAGUGGCGAAGGCGACUCUCUGGUUUGUAACUGACGCUGAGGAGCGAAAGCGUGGGGAGCGAACAGGAUUAGAUGCCCCCGUAGUCCCUGUCUCUUAUAC